GUCUAUGCCCAUAUCACUCUGAAUACUCCUGAUCUCAUCUGAUCUCAGAAGCUAAGACAUGUGGAUACAUGAACCAUCAGGAUAGAAA
RNAcentral lists this ribosomal RNA (88 nucleotides) under Castor canadensis (American beaver). The record is from RNAcentral. Lineage: Eukaryota; Metazoa; Chordata; Mammalia; Rodentia; Castoridae.